CUCAUUCCUGUUGUCUCCUUCAGAACCACAAACCAAACCCUAGCGCCGUCACUCAAUUCCCUCAUCAGGAACCCGGCAGCAACGAUGCCGGUAACCACGAAACUAACACCCCUUGACCAUAUGACCCCCUCAGUCCAAAUAUGUACUCCAUUAAACUCGAAUCAUCACGAACUGUCUCGAAUCUUUGAUCGAAGAUUCGAGCAAAAACCCUAGGUCAUCCAAUCCACCCCAAAAUCACACCAGCUAUCCACCAGAUCACCCUCGCCCCUAAUCCUUAACCAAUUUGGUCCAAAUCCGAG
This 299-nucleotide long non-coding RNA is filed under the name Nicotiana benthamiana. Its description in RNAcentral is "long non-coding RNA (NBEN_LNC005546)". The record is from RNAcentral. Lineage: Eukaryota; Viridiplantae; Streptophyta; Magnoliopsida; Solanales; Solanaceae.